RNAcentral lists this long non-coding RNA (2961 nucleotides) under Sus scrofa (pig). RNAcentral describes it as "lncRNA (ENSSSCG00030034462.1)". Lineage: Eukaryota; Metazoa; Chordata; Mammalia; Artiodactyla; Suidae. The record is from RNAcentral.
CAUCGCUGGUCUUUACCUGUUAGAUGCUGGUUGCAACCCCCUCCUCAUUGUGACAGCCCCAAAUCUCUUCAGAUGUUGUAAAUGUCCCUUAAGCUUGGGGUGGGGGGGAUGGGGCUUGGCUGAGAAGCACUGACCUACCACAGUACCUGGCAGACUGAGGCUAAAUAAAUGUAUAUUUAAUAAGCAAAUGCAGUUUUUAUUCUCACAGAUGCAAAACCUUCAGAUGCAUUUCACACUUAUGGGGCAGACCUUUGAUAGGUUCUUACCAGGAAGAGUAUUUCAAGGCUUAUAGGAAAGGGAGGAAGGAAUAGCCUUGCAACUUGCUGACUUGGAGAAAUGAGAGGAUGGAACACACGGCUCUGAUGGCAGAUGCGUCACUCAACGCCUCUUCUAAAGUUUUACCGAGAUGGGGCUUCUAAACUUCAUUUUGUUCUAUGUUGUUAGAACGACCUUUUGGCUAAUUUUGCCCCCUGCUAGUCAUAAUUAUCUCAUUCUAGCAGAGACUUUAAUUCUAUUAAAUUUUAAAAUUGAAGACUUAUUUCUGAGAAAUGUUUUAUCAUGAAUGGUAGCAACGUGAAUGCAAGGAAGAAGAGAAGAGAAAUUUAUGUAAAAUUGAUUGGGGAAAUGGUUAAUAAUCUUUCAAGACAUAUGGAACAGGUGAAAGCCUGUUGUACGAAUUGGGAAAAGUUUUGCCAAAACAUGAAGAAACAACAUUACAAAAGUACUUAAAAUUAAUAUUUGUCAAGUCAUCAUUGAUUCUCAUUUCCAGCAUUUAGAUUUUCUUCGGUUUAUGUCUGUCAGUUGCUAAUUCGUUUCUUGCUUCUCAGAAAAACAGGCAUCAUCUUUCCUUUGUCAUUGCAGCAGGUUAUACUCGUGUGCAAUAUUGAUAAGAUACGGAGGAGAAGUUUUGAAACACCCAGUGUCACCCCAUCACGUUUUAUUUUUCUUGUCAGAGAAAUAGUGUGCUCCCCGCAGUGUCUCCAAGUUAUUCAACUUCAUUCCAGGAAAGCUGCUGUUUAUCUUCUAGCUGGAGACAUAGGAAGAGAAGGAAUUUCAGUGAAAGAAGAGUCCAGGGAAGAGAUGGAUAUCAUUACAAGACUCUCUAUGGGAUCUGUCUCCCCGUGUGAAUGAGAUAGUAACCCUUCCAGCAAGAAUUGCACAACAUCCAUGCACAUGGGGAAAUGGAAUUUGUUUUUACCACUUCUACUUUUGAGAGACGCGUUGGCCAGUAGUGUGUGCGUGUGUCAGAAGUGUUGAAUGACCCCAACAUUCCGGUGAGAAAUGAUGUAGUGUGGUUGUUUCCUAUUUGCUGUGGAUGAAUGAGGCCCCUCCCUCACCCACAGUUCACAUGUUGAAGUCCUGUCUCCAGGACUGCAGAAGGUGACUACAUUUGGAAAAUACAUUCUUUAAAGACAUAGUUAAGACGGGGAAGGGGGGGGGAAGGAGGGAAAGACUGGGGUUGGGGAUGGGCAUAUGAACAUAGACGUAUAUGGGGUGAUUGGCCAACAGGGACCUGCUGUAUAGCACAGACAACUCUACCCAAUAUUCCAUGAUAAUGUAUGGGGGAAAAGAAUCUGAAAGAGAAUGGAUGUGUAUACCUAUAAAAAAAAAAAGGUUAUUCAGUUAAAAUGAGGUCCCUGGGAUGGGUCCUGAUCCAACAGAUGUGUGUCCUUAGAAGAAGAAGAAUUAGGAUACAGACAAGCACAGAGGGAAGAGCGUGGGAAGACACAGAGAGAGGAUGGCCAUCCAUAAGCCAAGGAAGGAGGAUGCCUCAGGAGAAAGCAAGCCGGCCGAUACCUUGAUCUUAAACUUCCAGCCUCCAGAACUGUGGGAGUAUAAAUGUCUGCUGUUGAAGCCAUGGAGGCUGUGGUACUUUGCUGCGGUAGCCCUGGAAAACUCAGACAUGGGAUUCCAAGUCUCUCAUGCAAUGGUUUUGACAGGGGUGGAGUGGGACAGUUACACAGGUAGUUGUAGAAGUCCCAAUAAAGGGCCGUAAAUAGAGAGGGAAACCGAGGGAACUCUGGGAGAUCACUGCAAAAUAGUAACUGCUCAAGAAAGCCACCAGAACGUGGCAGGCUUGUUUGACUACUGGAGGCACAAGAUACACUGCAGGCCAUUGGGUGGGGGAUGGGGCGGGGCCUGCGUUCGGGUUCAGGCCAAGGGCAGUUUAAGGACCACCCUUCUGCUGAUUUGAAUCAGCACCAUGGCAGUCCUAGCCUGACCUUAUAGGGUCAAAUACUGUCUUAGCAGAUACCCAGGAGGAGCUACUACUUGAAGAAAGAGGAAGAGGCGGUCUUUUCCCACCCCCACUCCGCUCGAAUGCUGAAACUGUAGCCCCCCUAAUCCUGGGGCAGAGGGUCUCUCACCAGCGUCCUACCUUAUGAAAUCUGUUUCUUGACUUUCACUUUUCCCUCGCUGAAUUCCUUCUGCACAGAGGCACAGAAAACUUCAGGAAGUCCAGACACUGGGUGAGUGAUUCUCAUUGAAAAACCAUGGGGUUCAAGUCCCAGUCUGGGUCAUGACUGGGUUCAAGUCCCAGUCUGGGUUUAGGAUGGGCUCCAGUCAUCAAUGUUGUCAGUUUCAGAGUGAUAUAGAUUUGAAUUCCUUAGAAUGACCCUCCCGGCCUGUCUUUCCCACUGCUUCCUGACCAGCCAUACAAACUGAAAGUAAGGGCGACGAUAAUGAAGGGCAUCUCCAUAGAGGAAAUAUAUUUCCUUACGUCUACAACUAGUCUGUAACCGAACUCAACCUUGCCAAAGAUAGCAAUUUUCAUUAUGUAUUAAAUUGGACCCAUAAUGGAACAAGGGUAGACGUACAGUUUCUGGUCCAGAAACCUCAUUAUUUCAAAAUCGUGAACUUGGUGACUGAUUCAAUUUCAAUGUUAGAAAACAAGCUGGAUACUGAAUCAGGAUCAUUUUUAAAAUCCACUCCCUUAGAAUCUUGAUGAGAAGACAGUGAUGA